RNAcentral lists this ribosomal RNA (468 nucleotides) under uncultured bacterium. RNAcentral describes it as "partial 16S ribosomal RNA". It matches the Rfam family "Bacterial small subunit ribosomal RNA", at positions 28 to 507 of the family's 1533-position model. The record is from RNAcentral.
GACGAACGCUGGCGGCGUGCUUAACACAUGCAAGUCGAACGGAAAGGCCCUGCUUUUGUGGGGUGCUCGAGUGGCGAACGGGUGAGUAACACGUGAGUAACCUGCCCUUGACUUUGGGAUAACUUCAGGAAACUGGGGCUAAUACCGGAUAGGAGCUCCUGCUGCAUGGUGGGGGUUGGAAAGUUUCGGCGGUUGGGGAUGGACUCGCGGCUUAUCAGCUUGUUGGUGGGGUAGUGGCUUACCAAGGCUUUGACGGGUAGCCGGCCUGGGAGGGUGGCCGGCCACAUUGGGACUGAGGUACGGCCCAGACUCCUACGGGAGGCAGCAGGGGGGAAUAUUGCACAAUGGGCGGGAGCCUGAUGCAGCAACGCCGCGUGCGGGAUGACGGCCUUCGGGUUGUAAACCGCUUUCGCCUGUGACGAAGCGUGAGUGACGGUAAUGGGUAAAGAAGCACCGGCUAACUACGUG